AGUGAACGCUGGCGGUAGGCCUAACACAUGCAAGUCGAACGGCAGCACAGUAAGAGCUUGCUCUUACGGGUGGCGAGUGGCGGACGGGUGAGGAAUACAUCGGAAUCUACUUUUUCGUGGGGGAUAACGUAGGGAAACUACGCUAAUACCGCAUACGACCUACGGGUGAAAGCAGGGGAUCUUCGGACCUUGCGCGAUUGAAUGAGCCGAUGUCGGAUUAGCUAGUUGGCGGGGUAAAGGCCCACCAAGGCGACGAUCCGUAGCUGGUCUGAGAGGACGAUCAGCCACACUGGAACUGAGACACGGUCCAGACUCCUACGGGAGGCAGCAGUGGGGAAUAUUGGACAAUGGGCGCAAGCCUGAUCCAGCCAUACCGCGUGGGUGAAGAAGGCCUUCGGGUUGUAAAGCCCUUUUGUUGGGAAAGAAAAGCAGCAGGUUAAUACCCCGCUGUUCUGACGGUACCCAAAGAAUAAGCACCGGCUAACUUCGUG
This 491-nucleotide ribosomal RNA is filed under the name uncultured bacterium. Its description in RNAcentral is "partial 16S ribosomal RNA". It matches the Rfam family "Bacterial small subunit ribosomal RNA", at positions 29 to 507 of the family's 1533-position model. The record is from RNAcentral.